GCACUAGUGGUCUAGUGGUAGAAUAGUACCAUGCCAUAGUACAUACUCAGGUUCAAUUCCUGGCUCGUGCA
Molecule: transfer RNA, 71 nt
Filed under: Ipomoea nil (Japanese morning glory)
Lineage: Eukaryota; Viridiplantae; Streptophyta; Magnoliopsida; Solanales; Convolvulaceae
Rfam family: tRNA
About the family: Transfer RNA (tRNA) molecules are approximately 80 nucleotides in length. Their secondary structure includes four short double-helical elements and three loops (D, anti-codon, and T loops).
Source: Rfam by way of RNAcentral